Molecule: ribosomal RNA, 791 nt
Filed under: uncultured Campylobacter sp.
Lineage: Bacteria; Pseudomonadati; Campylobacterota; Epsilonproteobacteria; Campylobacterales; Campylobacteraceae
Description: bacterial SSU rRNA
Rfam family: Bacterial small subunit ribosomal RNA
Source: RNAcentral
CAAGUCUCUUGUGAAAUCCAACGGCUUAACCGUUGAACUGCUUGGGAAACUGGUAAUCUAGAGUGGGGGAGAGGCAGAUGGAAUUGGUGGUGUAGGGGUAAAAUCCGUAGAUAUCACCAAGAAUACCCAUUGCGAAGGCGAUCUGCUGGAACUUAACUGACGCUAAGGCGCGAAAGCGUGGGGAGCAAACAGGAUUAGAUACCCUGGUAGUCCACGCCCUAAACGAUGUAUGCUAGUUGUUGGGGUGCUAGUCAUCUCAGUAAUGCAGCUAACGCAUUAAGCAUACCGCCUGGGGAGUACGGUCGCAAGAUUAAAACUCAAAGGAAUAGACGGGGACCCGCACAAGCGGUGGAGCAUGUGGUUUAAUUCGAAGAUACGCGAAGAACCUUACCUGGGCUUGAUAUCCUAAGAACCUUAUAGAGAUAUGAGGGUGCUAGCUUGCUAGAACUUAGAGACAGGUGCUGCACGGCUGUCGUCAGCUCGUGUCGUGAGAUGUUGGGUUAAGUCCCGCAACGAGCGCAACCCACGUAUUUAGUUGCUAACACUUCGGGUGAGCACUCUAAAUAGACUGCCUUCGUAAGGAGGAGGAAGGUGUGGACGACGUCAAGUCAUCAUGGCCCUUAUGCCCAGGGCGACACACGUGCUACAAUGGCAUAUACAAUGAGACGCAAUACCGCGAGGUGGAGCAAAUCUAUAAAAUAUGUCCCAGUUCGGAUUGUUCUCUGCAACUCGAGAGCAUGAAGCCGGAAUCGCUAGUAAUCGUAGAUCAGCCAUGCUACGGUGAAUACGUU